Molecule: ribosomal RNA, 378 nt
Filed under: uncultured marine eukaryote
Lineage: Eukaryota
Description: bacterial SSU rRNA
Rfam family: Eukaryotic small subunit ribosomal RNA
Source: RNAcentral
AAAAAGCUCGUAGUUGGAUUUCUGCGGGGGCGGGGCGGCCGGAUGCUUAUAGCAUCUCGAGCUAGCACUUCCCCCGCAUCCUGCCGCGAACCGUGCUACCAUUAGUUUGGUGGCGCUGGGGAUCGGCUCGUUUACUUUGAGAAAAAUAGAGUGUUCAAAGCAGGCCACACGCCUUGAAUAAGUUAGCAUGGAAUAAUGAUAAAGGACUUCGGUUCUAUUUUGUUGGUGUUCGGGACUGAAGUAAUGAUUGAUAGGGACAGUUGGGGCGGUCAGUAUUCCAAAGCGAGAGGUGAAAUUCUUAGACCUUCGGAAGACUAACAGCUGCGAAAGCGUUCCGCAAGGAUGUUCCCUUUGAUCAAGAACGAAAGUUGGGGGAUC